GGGUUGUGAGGUUAAGCGACUAAGCGUACACGGUGGAUGCCCUGGCAGUCAGAGGCGAUGAAGGACGUGCUAAUCUGCGAUAAGCGUCGGUAAGGUGAUAUGAACCGUUAUAACCGGCGAUUUCCGAAUGGGGAAACCCAGUGUGUUUCGACACACUAUCAUUAACUGAAUCCAUAGGUUAAUGAGGCGAACCGGGGGAACUGAAACAUCUAAGUACCCCGAGGAAAAGAAAUCAACCGAGAUUCCCCCAGUAGCGGCGAGCGAACGGGGAGCAGCCCAGAGCCUGAAUCAGUGUGUGUGUUAGUGGAAGCGUCUGGAAAGGCGCGCGAUACAGGGUGACAGCCCCGUACACAAAAAUGCACAUGCUGUGAGCUCGAUGAGUAGGGCGGGACACGUGGUAUCCUGUCUGAAUAUGGGGGGACCAUCCUCCAAGGCUAAAUACUCCUGACUGACCGAUAGUGAACCAGUACCGUGAGGGAAAGGCGAAAAGAACCCCGGCGAGGGGAGUGAAAAAGAACCUGAAACCGUGUACGUACAAGCAGUGGGAGCACGCUUAGGCGUGUGACUGCGUACCUUUUGUAUAAUGGGUCAGCGACUUAUAUUCUGUAGCAAGGUUAACCGAAUAGGGGAGCCGAAGGGAAACCGAGUCUUAACUGGGCGUUAAGUUGCAGGGUAUAGACCCGAAACCCGGUGAUCUAGCCAUGGGCAGGUUGAAGGUUGGGUAACACUAACUGGAGGACCGAACCGACUAAUGUUGAAAAAUUAGCGGAUGACUUGUGGCUGGGGGUGAAAGGCCAAUCAAACCGGGAGAUAGCUGGUUCUCCCCGAAAGCUAUUUAGGUAGCGCCUCGUGAAUUCAUCUCCGGGGGUAGAGCACUGUUUCGGCAAGGGGGUCAUCCCGACUUACCAACCCGAUGCAAACUGCGAAUACCGGAGAAUGUUAUCACGGGAGACACACGGCGGGUGCUAACGUCCGUCGUGAAGAGGGAAACAACCCAGACCGCCAGCUAAGGUCCCAAAGUCAUGGUUAAGUGGGAAACGAUGUGGGAAGGCCCAGACAGCCAGGAUGUUGGCUUAGAAGCAGCCAUCAUUUAAAGAAAGCGUAAUAGCUCACUGGUCGAGUCGGCCUGCGCGGAAGAUGUAACGGGGCUAAACCAUGCACCGAAGCUGCGGCAGCGACGCUGAUGCGUUGUUGGGUAGGGGAGCGUUCUGUAAGCCUGCGAAGGUGUGCUGUGAGGCAUGCUGGAGGUAUCAGAAGUGCGAAUGCUGACAUAAGUAACGAUAAAGCGGGUGAAAAGCCCGCUCGCCGGAAGACCAAGGGUUCCUGUCCAACGUUAAUCGGGGCAGGGUGAGUCGACCCCUAAGGCGAGGCCGAAAGGCGUAGUCGAUGGGAAACAGGUUAAUAUUCCUGUACUUGGUGUUACUGCGAAGGGGGGACGGAGAAGGCUAUGUUGGCCGGGCGACGGUUGUCCCGGUUUAAGCGUGUAGGCUGGUUUUCCAGGCAAAUCCGGAAAAUCAAGGCUGAGGCGUGAUGACGAGGCACUACGGUGCUGAAGCAACAAAUGCCCUGCUUCCAGGAAAAGCCUCUAAGCAUCAGGUAACAUCAAAUCGUACCCCAAACCGACACAGGUGGUCAGGUAGAGAAUACCAAGGCGCUUGAGAGAACUCGGGUGAAGGAACUAGGCAAAAUGGUGCCGUAACUUCGGGAGAAGGCACGCUGAUAUGUAGGUGAAGCGACUUGCUCGUGGAGCUGAAAUCAGUCGAAGAUACCAGCUGGCUGCAACUGUUUAUUAAAAACACAGCACUGUGCAAACACGAAAGUGGACGUAUACGGUGUGACGCCUGCCCGGUGCCGGAAGGUUAAUUGAUGGGGUUAGCGCAAGCGAAGCUCUUGAUCGAAGCCCCGGUAAACGGCGGCCGUAACUAUAACGGUCCUAAGGUAGCGAAAUUCCUUGUCGGGUAAGUUCCGACCUGCACGAAUGGCGUAAUGAUGGCCAGGCUGUCUCCACCCGAGACUCAGUGAAAUUGAACUCGCUGUGAAGAUGCAGUGUACCCGCGGCAAGACGGAAAGACCCCGUGAACCUUUACUAUAGCUUGACACUGAACAUUGAGCCUUGAUGUGUAGGAUAGGUGGGAGGCUUUGAAGUGUGGACGCCAGUCUGCAUGGAGCCGACCUUGAAAUACCACCCUUUAAUGUUUGAUGUUCUAACGUUGACCCGUAAUCCGGGUUGCGGACAGUGUCUGGUGGGUAGUUUGACUGGGGCGGUCUCCUCCUAAAGAGUAACGGAGGAGCACGAAGGUUGGCUAAUCCUGGUCGGACAUCAGGAGGUUAGUGCAAUGGCAUAAGCCAGCUUGACUGCGAGCGUGACGGCGCGAGCAGGUGCGAAAGCAGGUCAUAGUGAUCCGGUGGUUCUGAAUGGAAGGGCCAUCGCUCAACGGAUAAAAGGUACUCCGGGGAUAACAGGCUGAUACCGCCCAAGAGUUCAUAUCGACGGCGGUGUUUGGCACCUCGAUGUCGGCUCAUCACAUCCUGGGGCUGAAGUAGGUCCCAAGGGUAUGGCUGUUCGCCAUUUAAAGUGGUACGCGAGCUGGGUUUAGAACGUCGUGAGACAGUUCGGUCCCUAUCUGCCGUGGGCGCUGGAGAACUGAGGGGGGCUGCUCCUAGUACGAGAGGACCGGAGUGGACGCAUCACUGGUGUUCGGGUUGUCAUGCCAAUGGCACUGCCCGGUAGCUAAAUGCGGAAGAGAUAAGUGCUGAAAGCAUCUAAGCACGAAACUUGCCCCGAGAUGAGUUCUCCCUGACUCCUUGAGAGUCCUGAAGGAACGUUGAAGACGACGACGUUGAUAGGCCGGGUGUGUAAGCGCAGCGAUGCGUUGAGCUAACCGGUACUAAUGAACCGUGAGGCUUAACCUUACAACGCCGAAGGUGUUU
Molecule: ribosomal RNA, 2931 nt
Filed under: Escherichia coli
Lineage: Bacteria; Pseudomonadati; Pseudomonadota; Gammaproteobacteria; Enterobacterales; Enterobacteriaceae
Description: 23S ribosomal RNA
Rfam family: Bacterial large subunit ribosomal RNA
Source: RNAcentral